GGGAUUAUCAAGAGGUGUCAUAAACAUGAUGAUCAAUGAGGAGGUAGUGGAGGUGUCGGAGUUACUACAUUUAAAGUAGGAAUUACACCAAAGAAUAAUGGAGGAAUUACACCAAGGAGUUAUGGACAUCCACUUCCAAUUUUGAGCCUUGUACUAGUUGACUAAACAGAUUAAACUUUUAAUUAAGCUCAACGUGUGACUUUGCUCCUUUAAGCUGAUGGAUGUUAAAUAGUUAACAGAAUCUAAAAAACGAAUAGAAGAAGAAGACAUAAU
Molecule: long non-coding RNA, 273 nt
Filed under: Capsicum annuum
Lineage: Eukaryota; Viridiplantae; Streptophyta; Magnoliopsida; Solanales; Solanaceae
Description: long non-coding RNA (CANN_LNC011830)
Source: RNAcentral